UACGUAGGGGGCAAGCGUUAUCCGGAUUUACUGGGUGUAAAGGGAGCGCAGACGGCUGUGCAGGUCUGAAGUGAAAGGCUGGGGCUUAACCCCGGGACUGCUUUGGAAACUGUAUAGCUGGAGUGCCGGAGGGGUAAGCGGAAUUCCUAGUGUAGCGGUGAAAUGCGUAGAUAUUAGGAGGAACACCAGUGGCGAAGGCGGCUUACUGGACGGCAACUGACGUUGAGGCUCGAAAGCGUGGGGAGCAAAC
This 250-nucleotide ribosomal RNA is filed under the name uncultured prokaryote. RNAcentral's name for it is "partial 16S ribosomal RNA". It matches the Rfam family "Bacterial small subunit ribosomal RNA", at positions 524 to 773 of the family's 1533-position model. The record is from RNAcentral.